Long non-coding RNA from Ostrea edulis (European flat oyster), 1145 nucleotides. RefSeq lists it as uncharacterized. NCBI's taxonomy places the organism in Eukaryota, Metazoa, Mollusca, Bivalvia, Ostreida, Ostreidae. The transcript has 2 exons. The record is from RefSeq and is a predicted model, not a curated record.
GUAAAGAAUUUUGUAAAACUAUCUGUAAUUGUUGUACUUCUCUUGGGUAAAAAGUUCAACAUAAUAACGCCUUUUGCGUCCAAAAAUACUGUGGUCAUCACCUUGCCAGCAGAUUAUUGCGUCUUGAACUUCUUUGGCCUCGGGUACCCAGGCCCUACCCACUGACGACUCUGAGCUUUGUUCUCUGGCUCAUAAUAAUGAACCAUCUACAGUCACCAGACGUAAAGACGCAUUACAUUCAAAAAGAUUUCAGGUAGAUCACACCACCACCACGUCACAGUUUAUGAACGUAACAAUGUAUAAUACGUCAUAAUCCACACGAUGUAUAUUACGUCAUAAUCCAUUCUUCCUUACCACCAAACCAAAACAAACGCUUGCUUGGAGUCAGUAUCUACAUUCCUGUGGUAAUAAAAAUGGAAUUUCAAAACGACAUGUUUUUGGGAAGUGAACCAAGUCCUGAUUUUGUUCCCCGUGACAGAAUCAGAGACACAAUUUUCAGAAUUGAAAAUCUGAAAGCAACCAAUGCAAAUACUUGUUCAUUUUUGCCGUCAUGGGUAAAUGACAAGUAUUUCACUCAGUUAUAUACAACGACGGAAACCAAGAGUAAUGCAUUGGAGAUAACCACCGAAAGAGUAGAUAAGAGAGACACAUUGAGGACGGCGGAACCAAAAUGCAGUGGUGAAGAACUGGACACAAAAUCAAAGGAUGUUUCGGAAUCAACAGUCCUGAAACUAGAUACGAUUGAAAAGAGCCUCGUUGUAGAAAAGACUGAGAAUAAUUCAGAUCCAGACCUACAGCGCGAAAAGGAAUAUGAAUGGCAGAAAAAACAUGCUUGCCUAAUGAACCACAUUCUAGAAGAGCAAAAAACGAGACCAAAGCAGUGAAACCAAAUAUUGUGCAGUACAGGUUCCUCUGCACCACCGUGCUGUCUCCUGCUGAGGAACCCCGUGUGGUGGCGAGACGGAGGUUCACAUGGAGGGAACGGAUCCUGAGGUUCUUUGGAUUUUUAAAACGAUGACACUUAGAACUGUGUGUAAAGAUGGAAACGUGAUUAUAUAGAUUUGUGACACUUUGUAUAUGUUUAACUUAUUGUUUCUGAUGUUUAAAGUGGAUUAAAAAAAUUCUUAAUUUUAUUUUAAAUCGCA